RNAcentral lists this long non-coding RNA (1100 nucleotides) under Panax ginseng (ginseng). RNAcentral's name for it is "long non-coding RNA (PGIN_LNC008893)". Lineage: Eukaryota; Viridiplantae; Streptophyta; Magnoliopsida; Apiales; Araliaceae. The record is from RNAcentral.
UUUUUUGUAGUGACAAAACUAACCAAAUUCUCUUGCCCUGGCCGCCUCAUGUCAAUUGUCAUGCCUCCAUCAGGAGGUCAAAACGGGGAAGAAAAGUAAAACACAUGCACUAUAAAUAAAGUUGUUGGAGAAAAGGGUUAGGGUUUAUAAAACUCAGAAACAAGAAUGAGGCUCCAGAGGGAAGGAAUGUUUCAAAGGGUAGUUGCCCCCUCUGUUAAAUUUGUGUGAUCUUCUUCCGAUCCUUCAUUUAUUGGGCCUAUGAUUUCAUUUUUGCAGAUAGCGAAAUCAACAACCCUUUUGUGUGUGUGCGUGCGUGCGUGUGAACUCAGCUUCUGCUGCUGUACUACUAUAUAUAUAUAUACUCCUUCCUUCCUAAAUAACGGAUCAUACAAAUAUUCAAGAGGCUGUGAUGAUGAAUCAAUUUUUCUGAGUCUAAUCGGGCAGUGAGAGAAUGUGACCCGUAUCUUGGCGGGGCAACCCGGAGGGUAUGUGAGAGAUCGAUGGAUUGGUUAACCUAAUCUUCUUUCCCUCUCAUGCAACUGUUGGUUGCAGCCAUGGCGGUGUCACCCUCUUGCCUGAUACAUUACAGAUCUGAGCCUCACCUCACCUAAUUAUUUUUAAAUUACUAUUUAGUAGAAUUUUACUCCCCUGAUUCUUUCUAGAAGGGGAAAUAUGAGUAAUAAUAAUAGUAUUUCAUUUCUCAAUAUCUUUGAUUUGAUGUUAAGGGAAAGGAAGGGUGGAUCUGUUCUUGAGAAAUGGGACAAAUUAUGCAAUUUUAGUUGAGCCCAAAAGUGAAAAAAAGUAUCUUUCCAUAUUUCUUGCUCACUAUCAACCGCCAUUUCGUUUAAUUUUUUUAUCCAAUUGCACUUGUAUCAAAUUAGAGUACAACAUGGAUAAACCAACCAAGAAAUUUUUCCUAUGUUGACUAGCAAAACUACCCCAUAUGUUUGUUGGUCAACAUUAUGGUCUUAGGACCCGUUCUUAUUUCAAGUAGAUUUUACAAGUCAUUUAUAAAAAUAAUGAAGGGUAAAGUUGUCAUUAUAUAUGCUUAUUAGAAAUGACUUGUACGAAGUAAAAAUUUGUCGGUAUUUCUAAAAAAU